Molecule: long non-coding RNA, 2415 nt
Organism: Salvia splendens (bonfire salvia)
Lineage: Eukaryota; Viridiplantae; Streptophyta; Magnoliopsida; Lamiales; Lamiaceae
Exons: 4
Source: RefSeq, a predicted model, not a curated record
CUUGUUAUUCUUUUUCCUAAACUUGGGGAUUUUAAAAUAUACGGAAAAAAAAAUCUCUUAUCUUCUUCUCUUCUUCUGCUCUAUUUAUUAGCGUCUUCUCUAUGAUCACUCUGCUCAUUUUUCGAUCUGCAACUCUUCAGAAUUUCGUUCCAGUCCGUCAUCAACAAGUGGGUGCAUCUAAUAGUUUUGGAAUCAUCCAGUUUUCUAUCUCCAUUUUAGGUAUAAUUUGCACUAAAAAUCUCUUCUUUGAUCUUAGCUCCACAUGGAAAAAAUGAAUUCUGCUCUUCUCUUAUUAUUUUCUUUUAUCUACUUAUUCUGCUACUUUUUCUGUACUUGUGUGUAUUUUAGGUUGUGCUCAAACAAAAAGUUAUUUUAUUUGAUAAUUUUGUUGGAGUUGUCCUCUAGUUUUUGUUUUUUUUGUUGACCUGUUUGUUUGGGUGUCCACAAAUUACUGCAAUCAGAUAUAUGAUACAUCUAUUUAUUGCAAUGAUGUACCAAUCAUUUGUGCAUGAUAUCAAUGUGGCAAGUUGAAUUAUAAAUAAAAUUUUGAUGUUCAAGAGCUAGAUGGUACAAAUUAAAGCACGUAUUUAUCAAAGUAAGAUAUGAGAGGACAAAUAAUAAGCCUGUUGAGAUGGAGACUUUGAGAGCAAAGUUAAGUGAUGCUUUGUGGGGAGACGAAGAUAUGCUAAUUUUAUGGUGAUUAAAUGUUUAUUAUAUAUAUGUCAAAAGUAAUGAAUAGAAUCAUUGCAUCGAUGUAUUUUAGGCACAAUCCAUUUUUAUAGUUUUGGGUAGUUUCCUGAUUUGGGAAUGUGUUGUAGUAGCUCAACUUAGAGGAUAAAUUAAAGUCAUUAGGCAUAAGAUCUCUCUUUUCAGAUGGUCCAAUGGUUGCAACUAUGACUCUCUAAAGACUCUUGCAGUCUUACUAACUGUAUGUGUUUGUAUAUAUGCUAUUGAAUCUUCUUGUUCUUUUUAUUCCAAGCUUUUAUACCUUGUUUUUCUUUUAAGUUGGAUUAUGUUUGAGAACAUUAUUAUAUUUACUUUUACUUUCUCAGGGUGUCUUAGAAAGAUGACAGAAAUAGAAUCAAAUUCAAAGAAUUUUAUUUUUUUUAUAGCUUGUCUGCAAGUGAAGAGAAUGACUCUGUUGAAGCUAAUGAUGCGUGUGAUUAGAACUAUCACUAUUAAUCAUUUAUCGAAAAUAUUAUUUAAAGGCCCCACAUUCCGUGAAUGAGGUUGACCGAUCACGCUACAUUCAUAGAUUGAUCUAUGAGAGUGAUGUCACAUGUUAUGAAGAAUUACGUAUGGAUAGAUUUUCAUUUAGAAGAUUAGUUAUCAUGCUUGAAAGCUAACUGUUGAUGAGCAAGUUGCUAUUUUCUUGUACAUUCUAGCACAUCAUCAAAAGAAUCGUACAAUGAAAACUAAUUUUGUGCGGUCAGGAGAAACAAUUAGUAGGUAUUAUCAAGUUUGUACUAAAUGUCGUUCUUAGGCUUCAUGGUCAUUUACUAAAAGCUUCUUCUCCUGUAACUGAGAAUUCCACUGAUGCGAAAUGGAAAUACUUUAAGGUAUCAUAAAAACACCUUGGUUUAUAUUUAUCUUAUAUACAUAAAUCUUGAAUAUUGAUUGAAUUAAAAUUGUAGAAUUGCACAGGAGCUGUGGAUGGUACCCAUAUUGAAGUGAAAGUAUCCGAGGUUGAUAAACCUACAUAUCGAAAUAGAAAAGAUGGCUCGCCGCGGCAAGGGAGGUAAUCAUGUAUGGACUAUUAAAGAAGAUGCGAAACUUGAAGAAAUAAUUGUUGAGUUGAAGAGAAGUAGGAACUGAGAUGGUGAAAGUGGAAGUGGGUUAAAAAAAGGUUAUCAAAAGGAGUUGGAGAAAAUAUUGCAAGAAAAGUUGCCAGGCCAUGGUCUUAAAGAAAAACCACAUAUUGAAUCUCAUUGUAAGUUAUUGAAAAAACAAUAUCAUGCUAUCUACGAUGUGCGUUCCAAUGGAGAACUAAGUGGAUUUCGCUGGGAUGAUGAAAGAAAAUGUGUUACUGCAAGUGCAGACGUGUGGGAAGAUUACUUAAAGGGCCAUCCAGAUUGCACUUUCUUGAGAAACAAACCUUUUUCUUACUAUGAUCAACUAUCAUAUGUUUGGGGCAAAGAUAGAGUUGCUGGACCAAAUGCUGAAGUCGUGGUAGAUAUGGUUGAGGAUUUAGAUAGAGAGUAAAAUAUCGAUCAAGGAGAUGAAGAAUCUGGUGAAGAUAGUGCACCUUCAAUAAUUACACCUCGAGGUGAAGGAACUUCCAAAAAACAUGAGCGAAAAGGAAAGAGAAGUUCUGAUGGUUUGAUAUUAAGUUUGGAGUGCAUGAUUAAUGUGUUUAAUGAGCAAAUGGAAAAUUCGAAUGAUUAAAUGGGUAAGAUUAUUGAAAGUUUUAAUGCA